RNAcentral lists this transfer RNA (74 nucleotides) under Candidatus Rifleibacteriota bacterium. Its description in RNAcentral is "tRNA-Arg". It matches the Rfam family "tRNA". From Rfam's summary of the family: Transfer RNA (tRNA) molecules are approximately 80 nucleotides in length. Their secondary structure includes four short double-helical elements and three loops (D, anti-codon, and T loops). Further hydrogen bonds mediate the characteristic L-shaped molecular structure. tRNAs have two regions of fundamental functional importance: the anti-codon, which is responsible for specific mRNA codon recognition, and the 3' end, to which the tRNAs corresponding amino acid is attached (by aminoacyl-tRNA synthetases). tRNAs cope with the degeneracy of the genetic code in two manners: having more than one tRNA (with a specific anti-codon) for a particular amino acid; and 'wobble' base-pairing, i.e. permitting non-standard base-pairing at the 3rd anti-codon position. RNAcentral also lists the same sequence under 1 other name. The record is from RNAcentral. Lineage: Bacteria; Candidatus Rifleibacteriota.
GCGCCAGUAGCUCAGGUGGAUAGAGCAACAGCCUUCUAAGCUGUGGGCCAAGGGUUCGAGUCCUUUCUGGCGCG